GUGUCAGCCGCCGCGGUAAUACGUAGGGGGCGAGCGUUGUCCGAAGUUACUGGGCGUAAAGCGCGCGUAGGCGGGCUAUUAAGUUGGAUGUAAAAUCUCCGGGCUCAACUCGGAAACCGCAUCCAAAACUGGUGGCCUUGAGGUAUGGAGAGGGAAGUGGAAUUCCUGGUGUAGCGGUGAAAUGCGUAGAUAUCAGGAGGAACACCCGUGGCGAAGGCGGCUUCCUGGUCAUAUCCUGACGCUGAGGCGCGAAAGCUAGGGGAGCGAACGGGAUUAGAAACCCCUGUAGUCC
This 292-nucleotide ribosomal RNA is filed under the name uncultured bacterium. RNAcentral describes it as "partial 16S ribosomal RNA". It matches the Rfam family "Bacterial small subunit ribosomal RNA", at positions 505 to 796 of the family's 1533-position model. The record is from RNAcentral.